UAGAAUUAUUUAUUGGUUGUAGCUGGUCUUCGCAAGAUGACAAUGUGCACACCUUUAUUCAUCAAUCACACCCUGUGCACCUUUUGUAGACUUUGUUGUCUAUGUUUUUCAUAUACAAACAUUAAAGUAACAAACGUAGUCUUAUUAUAAUCUAAUA
Molecule: unclassified non-coding RNA, 157 nt
Filed under: uncultured Hygrophorus
Lineage: Eukaryota; Fungi; Basidiomycota; Agaricomycetes; Agaricales; Hygrophoraceae
Description: sequence contains ITS1
Source: RNAcentral